This 498-nucleotide ribosomal RNA is filed under the name Eimeria alpacae. Its description in RNAcentral is "SSU rRNA". It matches the Rfam family "Eukaryotic small subunit ribosomal RNA", at positions 581 to 1086 of the family's 1831-position model. Lineage: Eukaryota; Apicomplexa; Conoidasida; Eucoccidiorida; Eimeriidae. The record is from RNAcentral.
AAUUCCAGCUCCAAUAGUGUAUAUUAGAGUUGUUGCAGUUUAAGCUCGUAGUUGGAUUUCUGCUGUGGUCAUCCGGUACCGCCCGUAUGGGUGCGCACCUGGUUUGGCUGCGGCUUUCUUCCUGUAGCCGUCCGCGCUUAAUUGCGUGUGCUGUGUUACGGAACUUUUACUUUGAGAAAAAUAGAGUGUUUCAAGCAGGCUUGUCGCCCUGAAUACUUCAGCAUGGAAUAAUAGGAUAGGACCUUGGUUCUAUUUUGUUGGUUUCUAGGACCAAGGUAAUGAUUAAUAGGGACAGUUGGGGGCAUUCGUAUUUAACUGUCAGAGGUGAAAUUCUUAGAUUUGUUAAAGACGAACUACUGCGAAAGCAUUUGCCAAGGAUGUUUUCAUUAAUCAAGAACGACAGUAGGGGGUUUGAAGACGAUUAGAUACCGUCGUAAUCUCUACCAUAAACUAUGCCGACUAGAGAUAGGGAAAUGCCUACCUUGGCUUCUCCUCCUG